AGUGUGCUGUACUACGCACGGCCGUAUCUACUGCGGCGCGUGGCGGUCAACUGAACCAUUUCCAGUAGUUAUAAAGUCGUUAGGGUCUGACUAAUAGUAGUUCGUAUCACUUGACGGCGCAGCUUCGAAACAAGUGCCUCUAGUUUCGGAGCAAUCUCAUUCCCAAUUUGUUUCAAACGAUUAAUAACAAUUCACUCUGAUGAAUACAAAGAAAGCAUUACGUGGCAAUUACGGUGAUCGAUGGAUGAUAAUCACCAGGAAAAUCCAUUUACGAUUCAUUUUUUUUUUCUUCUCAUUUACGUUCAACAGAAAGCAAGAGAAUAACUCAUUUAUAGAUAUUACGUGUGCAAUUCUAUUCUCUCCACUGCAACUGAAUGGUAAUGGAAAAUAAUUACUUUCUUACGACUUUCCGUGACUUUUGUAUCUGAUCGCUUAAUUUUUUUAACCCACGCCAAAGUUCUUCUAUACAGUUAGCUGUAGUUUGACAGAUAAAACCAGUUCCAUUAUGCGGGUCUAUCGGCCAGCUGUUUUCUUCUAUCGAAACAAAGUCGACGCAACACAAUAGGCGUUUAUCGGUACACUUGGGUGCAGUGUAGGCAUCUCUUGACUAUAAGAGUAGGUGCAAGGUGUUGUUGGUUUUGAAGAGAACCUAGAGAAAGCCUCGGAAAGGAAGCUGACUUCGUCUAGGAGGAAAAUUCCUAUCCUUCCACGUUCCAAGAACAGAAGAUAAAUAAGGGAAUAACGUUAUCCAAGAUCUGUCAGGGAAAGGGUUGAGCCGAUUCGUGGCUCGAAAAUUCGUGGCUCGAAAAACGAAUACGUUAACUUUCACUUUUGAACGGUCACUUCCUGUCCGGCCGGUGGAUUACAUCCAAUUCUUAUUCGUCGCACGCACGAGCGGCCACUGACAAAAAUAUCUCGAUUACACGCGGCUUACAAUGAUGAAACCGGAGAAUUUCUGUAUCCUAACACGUUAACUAGCUGCACAAUAGCAGCCUUUUUUCGAUGAAAAAAAAAGAAAGAGGAGAAGAUUCAUACCUGAGCGAGUGGAGCCUCAUCGUUCCCUGAUCCGUCAAUCGAGCAGCACUUGGCGGAGAGAAUAGAUCUCUAAAGAGUCGGCUGUUUGAUCGCGAAAACGAUCAUGGAACGUUUACAGGAUCGAA
This is a non-coding RNA of Osmia lignaria (orchard mason bee), 1160 nucleotides long. NCBI's taxonomy places the organism in Eukaryota, Metazoa, Arthropoda, Insecta, Hymenoptera, Megachilidae. The record is from RefSeq and is a predicted model, not a curated record.